GAUGAAUGCUGGCGGCGUGCCUAAUACAUGCAAGUCGAGCGAACAGAUGAGGAGCUUGCUCCUCUGACGUUAGCGGCGGACGGGUGAGUAACACGUGGAUAACCUACCUAUAAGACUGGGAUAACUUCGGGAAACCGGAGCUAAUACCGGAUAAUAUAUUGAACCGCAUGGUUCAAUAGUGAAAGACGGUUUUGCUGUCACUUAUAGAUGGAUCCGCGCCGCAUUAGCUAGUUGGUAAGGUAACGGCUUACCAAGGCAACGAUGCGUAGCCGACCUGAGAGGGUGAUCGGCCACACUGGAACUGAGACACGGUCCAGACUCCUACGGGAGGCAGCAGUAGGGAAUCUUCCGCAAUGGGCGAAAGCUUGACGGAGCAACGCCGCGUGAGUGAUGAAGGUCUUCGGAUCGUAAAACUCUGUUAUUAGGGAAGAACAAAUGUGUAAGUAACUAUGCACGUCUUGACGGUACCUAAUCAGAAAGCCACGGCUAACUACGUG
RNAcentral lists this ribosomal RNA (497 nucleotides) under uncultured bacterium. Its description in RNAcentral is "partial 16S ribosomal RNA". It matches the Rfam family "Bacterial small subunit ribosomal RNA", at positions 28 to 507 of the family's 1533-position model. The record is from RNAcentral.